ACGCAGGCUCGGCUGUCUCUUUAGGCCACGGAGCCGCGUAGAUCCGGAGCCCCGGGCGACUGAUCUGUCCCCAUUGGGCGAGACCUACCUAGACAAAGGCCUUAACGUACCGACAAAGGCCUUAAGGGGCCUGGGAGGAAGUCAUACAAAAUAAAUGUCUUCUGGAGAUGACUUUUGGAAAUGGAGUUAUUAGACGGCCUCUGGAAGCGAUACAUCCAUGUUUGUUCAGUGGGUUAGAUGACAUGGAGCUGGAAGACCUGAGAAGGAAGAGAAGAAGGUUCUAUGACAGACUGGUCAUAUUUAGAAGACACUUUCGUAUUCUAUCCAUAGUUUUGUAUGCAUUUUAUUCCUCACUACUG
This 359-nucleotide long non-coding RNA is filed under the name Pan troglodytes (chimpanzee). Its description in RNAcentral is "long non-coding RNA NONPTRT017576". The record is from RNAcentral. Lineage: Eukaryota; Metazoa; Chordata; Mammalia; Primates; Hominidae.